GCAACGCCGCGUGAGUGAUGAAGGCUUUCGGGUCGUAAAACUCUGUUGUUAGGGAAGAACAAGUACGAGAGUAACUGCUCGUACCUUGACGGUACCUAACCAGAAAGCCACGGCUAACUACGUGCCAGCAGCCGCGGUAAUACGUAGGUGGCAAGCGUUAUCCGGAAUUAUUGGGCGUAAAGCGCGCGCAGGCGGUUUCUUAAGUCUGAUGUGAAAGCCCACGGCUCAACCGUGGAGGGUCAUUGGAAACUGGGGAACUUGAGUGCAGAAGAGAAAAGCGGAAUUCCACGUGUAGCGGUGAAAUGCGUAGAGAUGUGGAGGAACACCAGUGGCGAAGGCGGCUUUUUGGUCUGUAACUGACGCUGAGGCGCGAAAGCGUGGGGAGCAAACAGGAUUAGAUACCCUGGUAGUCCACGCCGUAAACGAUGAGUGCUAAGUGUUAGAGGGUUUCCGCCCUUUAGUGCUGCAGCUAACGCAUUAAGCACUCCGCCUGGGGAGUACGGUCGCAAGACUG
This 514-nucleotide ribosomal RNA is filed under the name uncultured Bacillota bacterium. Its description in RNAcentral is "bacterial SSU rRNA". It matches the Rfam family "Bacterial small subunit ribosomal RNA", at positions 391 to 896 of the family's 1533-position model. Lineage: Bacteria; Bacillati; Bacillota. The record is from RNAcentral.